RNAcentral lists this ribosomal RNA (253 nucleotides) under uncultured prokaryote. RNAcentral's name for it is "partial 16S ribosomal RNA". It matches the Rfam family "Bacterial small subunit ribosomal RNA", at positions 525 to 777 of the family's 1533-position model. The record is from RNAcentral.
ACGAAGGGGACUAGCGUUGUUCGGAAUCACUGGGCGUAAAGCGCACGUAGGCGGAUAUGUCAGUCAGGGGUGAAAUCCCGGGGCUCAACCUCGGAACUGCCUUUGAUACAGCAUAUCUCGAGUCCGAUAGAGGUGGGUGGAAUUCCUAGUGUAGAGGUGAAAUUCGUAGAUAUUAGGAAGAACACCGGUGGCGAAGGCGGGUCUCUGGGCCGAUACUGACGCUGAGGAGCGAAAGCGUGGGGAGCGAACAGGA